UAGCCGUAAACGAUACUCGCUAGGUGUCGGCCACGGUGCGACCGUUGUCGGUGCCGUAGGGAAGCCGUGAAGCGAGCCACCUGGGAAGUACGGCCGCAAGGCUGAAACUUAAAGGAAUUGGCGGGGGGAGGCACCACAAGAGGUGGAGGCUGCGGUUCAAUUGGACUCAACGCCGGAAACUACAUCGGGAGGCGACAGCAGUAUGAUUGCCAGGUUGAUGACCUUGCUUGACAAGCUGAGAGGAGGUGCAUGGCGUAGUCGUGU
RNAcentral lists this ribosomal RNA (264 nucleotides) under uncultured archaeon. Its description in RNAcentral is "partial 16S ribosomal RNA". It matches the Rfam family "Archaeal small subunit ribosomal RNA", at positions 748 to 1009 of the family's 1478-position model. The record is from RNAcentral.